Molecule: ribosomal RNA, 610 nt
Filed under: Marinobacter sp.
Lineage: Bacteria; Pseudomonadati; Pseudomonadota; Gammaproteobacteria; Pseudomonadales; Marinobacteraceae
Description: bacterial SSU rRNA
Rfam family: Bacterial small subunit ribosomal RNA
Source: RNAcentral
AGCAUGAGGCGAGCUUACCAUGCAGUCGAGCGGUAACAGGGGGUGCUUGCACCCCGCUGACGAGCGGCGGACGGGUGAGUAAUGCAUAGGAAUCUGCCCAGUAGUGGGGGAUAGCCCGGGGAAACCCGGAUUAAUACCGCAUACGCCCUUUGGGAGAAAGCAGGGGAUCUUCGGACCUUGCGCUAUUGGAUGAGCCUAUGUCGGAUUAGCUAGUUGGUGGGGUAAAGGCCUACCAAGGCGACGAUCCGUAGCUGGUCUGAGAGGAUGAUCAGCCACAUCGGGACUGAGACACGGCCCGAACUCCUACGGGAGGCAGCAGUGGGGAAUAUUGGACAAUGGGGGCAACCCUGAUCCAGCCAUGCCGCGUGUGUGAAGAAGGCUUUCGGGUUGUAAAGCACUUUCAGUGAGGAGGAAAACCUUCUGGUUAAUACCCAUGAGGCUUGACGUUACUCACAGAAGAAGCACCGGCUAACUCCGUGCCAGCAGCCGCGGUAAUACGGAGGGUGCAAGCGUUAAUCGGAAUUACUGGGCGUAAAGCGCGCGUAGGUGGUUUGAUAAGCGAGAUGUGAAAGCCCCGGGCUUAACCUGGGAACGGCAUUUCGAACUGUCA